AAUAUCCUCACCGGUGACUACUCCAAAAUCUCCAAAACUGUAUGUUCUUUACCCAUCCUUCGCUUUGACAAUGCAAAACUUAAUAGAGAAACUUGAUUGUAAUGGUGUUUUGGCACUAAAGGGAUUUUCUUUUUUGCACUUUUAUGUCGUAAUUAGUAGGAAGGUUGGGUUUUAGUCUCCAAAACUGGUAAGCUACUUUGAAUAAAAGGAAGAAAGCUUUAGAGAGAAAUUAAGAAAUUUUGUGAAAUUUGCUACUAAGUUUUUGUUGCCUCCUAUGGUUGAAGAAGUAGUAAAACUACUUCAUUCUUUUUCUUUUUCUUUUGUGAAAUUUGUUUACCAGUCAUGGAAUUUUAAUUUAGUUUUUGCCUCCAUUUACAAAAGCCACUAGCAGCUAGCUACUUGGUUAGAUUUUAACUUUCAAAGAUAUGAUGAUGUAAAUUUGUUUUUUCAUAUCAAUGUUGGCUUCACUUGACUUUUUUUUUGUUGUUGCAGUAGAAAUUGUUCUACAGUAAUUGCAAAAGACAAAGGCAUUUAAUUUUGAUAUAGAUUAGGAAUCUAAGAACAAAACUAUGGCAUCACUAAAUCUAGUGAACAUUCUUCUACAGCUAACAUAAUGAACAUAUGAUCCUGUUGGUGCUUUCUCAAGAAUAUGGAUUUGUCAGCACCAACACAAGAAGCAAAUGAGCUGCCCUGCAAAGGCUCAACUGCUUUCCAACACCCUUUAUUAUUACAUUUUACAAGCACUUGUUUCCUUAUUAUUCUUAUUAAUGUUUUGGGGGGGGCGUUGAUUACGAGGGUAUCUUCUUUUAGUUGCUAGCUUUAAGCCUUUCUUUUCUCUCUUUGAAUAUGAAAUAAAAUUCUUAUGUUAAACCAUUUCGAAAGGGUUGUGUCUUCACAUAUGAUGCCAUACGUUAAAAUUGGUGUUAUCCCACAUUAUUUAAAGUUAAACCUUCCCAAUAGCCAAUUGUUUUUAGGUUAGAUGCUUAAUAUGUUAUCGAAGCUAGGAUUAUAAUUUGUUCUUCUUGCUUGGUACUCUUCUUACUCUUUGUUAGUUCGUCACAUGAUUGGCUCUUUUGUCUCGGUUUACUUACGAUGGUAGAUUAACAGAUGAUUCCAAGUUUGUCCUCAAUAUUCAACCCAUUUGUUUCUAUUUUUUGUAAUUAUUUUGACUGGAAAUGUAUAUUGAUUUAUUGUGUUUUUUUUCCUUUUGAUUUUUGGCGACUUAAUAAUAAGGCUUCACGGUUUAAUAUUGGUAGAUCUUUACAUUUAUGACUAAAGUUAGAUAUGUUUCAAAGCUAGAAAGUAGAGUUGCAGCAAUGGAUGAAUCUAUUGUAAGUUAGAUAUAGCUCUUAUUGUGUUUAUUGAAGAAAAAGAAUCGCUUAAUUCCCAUUAUUGAGUUUAGAGCCAUGGUAUUAGUCUAAGUAGAAUGCGAAUUCGAAUUGAAUUAUGCAAUGGAAAAGCUUUCAUAUUGUAUUAUCUAAUAAUAUCUUAUUAGAAGAAAAUUGGAAAAUUCAUGUAUCUAAAUCUAACAUCUGCAAGCGUUAAGAUUUUAAUUUGGUUUGUUAACUUGUUCACCUUGUUGAUGUCAAAAUUUGUCUUCAUGAGUUUUUGAGCUUCCCAGCAUUUCAUUGUUAUACUAAUUGAUUAGUUGACCCUUUGAUUUUAUGGGAGCUCAAGAACUUAAGGCCCCAGCUUUAUUUAGCUGUUGAGUACUGCGAAAAGUCGUAUCUCCAUAAUGAGCAGAAGCAGAUGUAAGGUUACCUAUUUUACUUGAAUACUUGCUUAGUUCCUUCAUUGUUUGUUUAACAGCCUUCUCAUGUUCAUGCAAGCAAUACCAUAAUUGAUUUCAGAAUUUGAUCGAUUACCACAAGUACUCAACAUUUGGUUAAGUUUAUGUAUCUUUUAUUCAAAGAUUUAUCACUAUUUAUUUCUUUUUUAUGAUAAGGCCAUAACUUAGUAGUAGAAAGGAAAUUAGGGGAAUUUUUUGAUCCCUUGUUUAAGUGUCAUUGGAUGUAGUUUUCUUUAUAUUUAUUCUAAUUUAUUUUGUGGAUUUGUUCAUACAUAUAUAUUAGUUAUUAGUUAUCAGUCAGAUAGUUCAUUGUAAUAAUUGAUCACGUUUGUAUCUACAGUCGAAUGCAUUGAUUGUAAUUAUUAUUGUAAUUUAAUGGACUAUGUUUCUUUUUCUAGCUGAAUUAGAAAUGUAUUACAACUUUUCGGAUGCUCUUUUUGUACCAAAAUAGGUUUUGUCGUCUCUUUUCAUGUUGGGGAGGGUUUGUUCUCACUUUUUUUUGGUUGAGGUAGUAUUCUCUUAUGUUAGAUAAAGUUUAUAAUUCAUUUCUCUUCAAUUGCAGGGGCAAAUGCUUACUUCUUUGGAAAAGGUGGUAGAAUGGUUUGCGUUACAGACCAAUGUGCAAGGCGGUCAAGUUUAUAUCUUAAUUCUCCCCUCUGAUUGGCAAAGGAUCAUGUUCUGCUCAUGCCCGAAAAUAGUUUCUAGCAUAUGUUGGAAAAGCAAAGACUACCGGAUGGUUGGAUUGAUCAUUUCAUUAUGGCAAUUCCAUAAACAGUAAAGAGAAUGGGGCCAGCCAAUAAUAAUGAGUUUACAGGGAAGUUGAGUUCCUUCAACCUGUGCCCUGGUAUUGUAGAGAAUAAGUUAAGAAUUGACUUAAAUUUAAACAUUUGCCUGACACACGCUGCAUUAUUGUUGAAGUCAACAUGUUUUGUUUUGUUUUGCUUUUGCCAGUACAGCUGCCGUAGUUAUGUAAAGAGAAUGGGGCCUGCCAAUAAUAAUAAGCAUGUAGGCACUAAAUCUGCAGUUCAAAUUCGAAGCCAUGCUCAAAAGUUUUUCUCUAAGGCUCAUUGCUUUGAGUUCAUUACAAGAUUUCCUUGAUUAAGUAAAUGUAUUAUAUCUUUUAUUACCAAGAUUUACUUGAUUAAGAAAAUGAAUUGUAUUUUUUAUUACAUUGCAAUGUGUAUAGUUAUAGGUAGGUUCAACUAGUC
Long non-coding RNA from Gossypium raimondii (Peruvian cotton), 2997 nucleotides. RefSeq lists it as uncharacterized. The record is from RefSeq and is a predicted model, not a curated record. The transcript has 3 exons. NCBI's taxonomy places the organism in Eukaryota, Viridiplantae, Streptophyta, Magnoliopsida, Malvales, Malvaceae.